RNAcentral lists this long non-coding RNA (578 nucleotides) under Serinus canaria (Common canary). Its description in RNAcentral is "lncRNA (ENSSCAG00000015549.1)". The record is from RNAcentral. Lineage: Eukaryota; Metazoa; Chordata; Aves; Passeriformes; Fringillidae.
ACAAGGCUCUGCUUUCAAAGGCUUUCACAAUUCAUUAACUUCAAAGGAACGGCCUCUAUUUUCUUAGCAGGUCGGUCAUUCCACAGACUUACUCUGGGUGCUGAAGGUGGCUGUGCUCAUGCCAGAAGGCUGGAGCAGCUGCAGGGCCCAGUGUCACACACAGAGCUGUGGAGAGGGGCACAGGAACAGUCCAUAGUCAGUGUUACGCCUAAGGAGGAGAACAGGAUAACCUGGAAAGCUUUGGGGUGGGUGAUUCUGAAUUGGAACAGAAACAGGUUUCAAAAUGUUUUGCAAAGGCAGAACUUCAUCCCUGUUGCCAAGUGGGAAGUGGCCAAGGGAGAAAAAAAGCCCUAUCAGACCCACCUGGGAGCCUGCUUGCCAGAAGGAGAAAUGGCACAAGAGGAAAUACAUCUUCACAGCCUCGAGAGAGGAGAAGGUUGGAAUCUGAGUCCAUAAACAGAGGUGCUCUGCAGUGAGCAAAGACAGAGCAGGUUGGGCUCUGGAGAGUGUAACCCCCCUCUGCUGCUCCACUGCCAAUUAAAAAUAAAGAAGUGUAACCUGUUUGUUUUCCCCUCUCA